RNAcentral lists this ribosomal RNA (1345 nucleotides) under Eimeria stiedae. RNAcentral's name for it is "SSU rRNA". It matches the Rfam family "Eukaryotic small subunit ribosomal RNA", at positions 151 to 1619 of the family's 1831-position model. Lineage: Eukaryota; Apicomplexa; Conoidasida; Eucoccidiorida; Eimeriidae. The record is from RNAcentral.
UGGUUAUUCUACGGCUAAUAUGUGCGCAAUGGCCUCCUUCUCUGGAGGGGCUGUGUUUAUUAGGUACAAAACCAACCCACUUUGGUGGACUCUUGGUGAUUCAUAGUAACCGAACAGAUCGCAAUUGGCUUGUUGUGGGCACGUUCGAUUCCGGAGAGGGAAGCUGAGAAACGGCUACCACAUCUAAGGAAGGCAGCAGGCGCGCAAAUUACCCAAUGAAAACAGUUUCGAGGUAGUGACGAGGAAUAACAGUACAGGGCAUUUUUUGCUCUGUAAUUGGAGUAAUGCGAAUGRAAGACCCUUUCAGAGUAACAAUUGGAGGGCACGUCUGGUGCCCGCAGCCGCUGUAGUUCCAGCUCCAAUAGUGCACAUUAGAGUUGUUGCAGUUAAAAAGCUCGUAGUUGGAUUUCUGUCGUGGUCAUCCGGUCGCCCGUAUGGGUGUGUGCCUGGUAUGACCGCGGCUUUCCUCUGGUAGCCAGCCAUCCGCGCUUAAUUGCGUGUGUUGGUGUUGAACUAGGACUUUUACUUUGAGAAAAAUAGACUGUUUCAAGCAGGCUGGUCGUCCUGAAUACUUCAGCAUGGAAUAUGAGGAUAGAACCUCGGUUUUAUUUUGUUGGUUUUUGGGACCAAGGUAUUGAUUAAUAGGGACAGUUGGGGGCAUUUGUAUUUAACUGUCAGAGGUGAAUUUCUUAGAUUUGUUAAAGACGAACUACUGCGACACCAUUUGCCAAGGAAGUUUUCAUUAAUCAAGAACGGUAGCAGGGGGUUCGAGGACGAUUAGGCACCGUCGUAAUCUCUACCAUAAACUAUGCGGACUACAGAUAGGGAAAUGCCUAUCUUGGCUUCUCCUGCACCUCAUGAGAAGUCGAAGUCUUUGGGUUCUGGGGGGAGUAUGGUCGCAAGGCUGAAACUUAAAGGAGUUGACGAAAGGGCACCACCAGGCCUGGAGCCUGCGGCUUAAUUUGACUCCACACGCGGGAACUCACCAGGUCCAGACAUGGGAAGGAUCGACAGAUUGAUAGCUCUUUCUUGAUUCUAUGGGUGGUGGUGCAUGGCAGUUUUUAGUUGGUGGAGUGACCUGUCUGGUGAAUUUCGAUAACGAACGAGACCUUAGCCUGCUUAAUAGGAUCAAGAACCUCGAUUCUCGUAUCACUUUAUAGAGGGACUUUGCGUGUCCAACGCAAGGAAGUUUGAGGCAAUAACAGGUCUGUGAUGCCCUCAGAUGUUCUGUGCUGCACACGCGCUACAUUGAUGCAUGCAACGAGCUUUUGACCUUGGCCGACAGGUCUAGGUAAUCUUUUGAGUAUGCAUCGUGAUGGGGGUAGAAUAUUGCAACUAUUAAUCU